Molecule: long non-coding RNA, 2338 nt
Filed under: Zea mays
Lineage: Eukaryota; Viridiplantae; Streptophyta; Magnoliopsida; Poales; Poaceae
Description: long non-coding RNA (ZMAY_LNC002818)
Source: RNAcentral
UAAAGCCAGGUGCGUCUCAUAUGUGCGCCAAAGAAGAACAUCACAUAUAAUGACAAAGUGUCUAGAGAUAAAUGUCACAGAUAUCAUAAAUGUCAUUAUUACAUAGCGGAAGUCUUACAAAAAUAAAUGAUAAUAAUAAAGCGAACUAAGUAUUAUUCCUUGGCGCCACAAAGCUGACUGUGAGACGCCACCUAGAUGAGCUUGUACUCUUCAUUGUAAGGCUCCUCCUGGACCACAUGUUCUUCUCCUGUGGGGGUUAUAUAUCGCAAGGGUGAGCUCACAAAAGAUCAUAGUUCAACAAGUUGUGGGGAAUAAUGUGCAUGAACUCACCAAAGGUGGGAGUUCAUGUGAAGUGUAAGGCUGAUCAACAAAUAAGGGGUAAAGCUGAGCAUUGCUUUUAAUAUGUUGGUCAAGUUUUAUUAGCAGUUACUAAAUGUAAGUAGAUACCAAACCAGCGUAAUAGUAUAUUAAAAUUAUCAAUAAAUACCAUGCAAUGCAAAUGACAAAUUGAAUUGAGUUCCAUAAAUUAAUCAUGCCAGAGUCUUGAGCUGCUCAUGACCGCGAGCAUGGUCAGUAUACCAGUUUUACACUCUGCAGAGGUUGUACCCAGUACCCACAAGUCGUGUAUCCCAUGUCGCUAGGGUUAGUUAGACCCUUAGAAAUCUCUCCCUAGCUUUCCUAAUUACUUGGCCAAGGACGUCCCAUUACACCCUUGUGGUAGCACUGUUUUCCCGGAUGGUUCUCCAUGUUCCAAUUAACAAUAUGAUCUUAUCAUAAACAAUAAUUAAACAACAACAUAAUUGGAACAUGGUCAUAAUAAAGUAUUAGUGAUCUAGGGCACAACUUGCCUGUGACUCAAGAUUCCAAGUACCAACUUGUUCUUCAAGUGACUCGUGACCUCGCUGCUAGUCAUAGCAAUACAAACAAACAUGGCAUAGGCAAAUAUUAACAUCACACCAAACAUGAGAACAAACAACGUAAAAAUAUUCUACGCGAUGUUAUGGGAGCGCAGGCUCGAGAACUACUAAAAUCGGAGUCAGGAUUGAAAGGAUAUGGUUUUUGGAAGACUCGUGUGAUUAAGCAAUAGAACUAUUAUUAUAAACCACGUGGGAAUAAUAUUCUAAAUAAGUGACUAGUUUACCCUUAAUCUAAGUUAUAACUUAAUUAGAAAUCACAUUCUAGUCAACUUGUAAUUAUAGAUAUAUUAAUUUUGAUUUAAAAAGGUUAACCUACUAGCAUUGGUUCAACAAGUACCUAUUUUUGAAAAUAUGUUACUUGGUAAAAUAACGCUGCUAUAGCAUAGGCAAUGAUAUUGUGAAGUUAACGCAAUUUGAACGGGUCAAAUCGGAGUUAAAACGUGCAACUUAUAAAUUUUCUAAGGCUCCUAGAUUUAUUUUUUACUAGAAAUUCAAUUUCAGAAUUAAUUCUACUAAUAUAUUAAGAACUAGGGACCGCGGCCCCCAAUACCCGAGAACACAAGGUCUAAACCGAGAAAAACAUGACCUGUUAGUAGUAAUUUUAUACUUUUGGUGGACGUCGGGUUCAUUACUGCGAACCCGAGGGGCUCUUUUGCAAAAGACCACGACCGAAGAGGUAUCACGUUACUACAAUCGUCCGAUCGAAAUCUGAUGGUCCAGAUUAGACCCAGCCCACCACGAACCGAUAUGCGCUCACUGACCGUUGAUGGGCAGAUCGACGGACGAGAUUUAAUUACCUGAGAUCCGAUCGUGCCCCUCGGAUCCAGAUCUAACGCCCCAGGUGUAAUGCACUGAAGCGGUAUACCUAAUCUAAUCCAUGCCAUUGGCGUAAGAUCCAACGGUUGAUCUACGACUAAGAUUGAUAACGCGAAUAAGUACGCUACUUUUAACCCGAGCCGACCAUCAAGGGAUGAACGGCUCCCUGCUUUCUUCACCCAGGGCCAAGCACGACGGAGCCGCCCAGAAUUCCGGUGAGCUCACGCGGCCGCAAGGUGAUUCUCCGCCCAAGUAUGCAGUAUCCCACCCAGACCGGCGUUACACGAUGCAGGGAGGAAGGCGAGUCGAUCUGGAGGAUUCUCACAUGCGUUUACACUGAGUAGACCCCUGGCCACGACGGAGAUGCGGCCCGACGGUGGAGGAUCGAGUCCGGCGAGCAAUUCUGGGCUGACCAGAACGUAGUCUGCCCAAGCAAAGUCACGGUCGUGACCCGUGAGACUUGGUGAAGCCCCAGACCCAAAAUCGAGGCCCUGACAAUGGUGAGACUGUGGAUCUACGUCGGCGGCGCUCUCUCCCUCCCACGAUGGUGUGAGGCAGGAUUUACAAGGGUGGAGCUGUGGGUCCGAGGUCGGUAGGAUCGGGCG